AAAUCGGUCUUUUUCAAGACCACUGAAAAACCAUUGGUUCUUUUCAU
This is a non-coding RNA of Harpegnathos saltator (Jerdon's jumping ant), 47 nucleotides long. NCBI's taxonomy places the organism in Eukaryota, Metazoa, Arthropoda, Insecta, Hymenoptera, Formicidae. The record is from Rfam.